AAAGCAAAUCAUCGGGAAUAACCCGGGAGCCUGGCAGGGAAACCGCUGCACUAUGGAGAGGACGCUUCCAGAUACAGAGGACAAAUCAAGUGAAGGGACGGAACAGGUCACACCCAGAGCGGCACAGAGGUGUGUGAGCUGUUCCCACGGUAGUCAGAGCCUCUGUUCCAACUGUCCUCCCGCUGGGCUCUCUCCGGUCCCCAGUGCAUGGGCUGGAGUGUGGCCCCUGGCAGAGCCCUGGAGGCCGGCUCUGCUUCCUGCCCCCUUCCAGCCUGGAGCAGCCCGAGGGCGCAGCAUUCCUGGGGCAGGCCUGAGCCCUGUGGUGGGCUGAGUUGAGUCCCCAGAAAGGUAGAUUGAAGCCCAAACUCUCUGUAUGUUUGAACGUGACCUUAUUUGGAAAAAGAGUCUUUGCAGAUGUGUUCAGGUUCAGAUGAGGUCAUCCUGGAUUAGGGUGAGUCCUAAAUCCAAUGCUGUGACCUUAUAAUUGGGGGAUGCACAGGGAGAGGCCGCAUGAAGAUGCAGGCCAAGACUGGGGCACUGCUGCUCCAAGCCAAGGAGCACCAAGGACUGAAGACGCCCGCGGGGCGCUGGGCAAGGUGCAGAGGGAUUCUUCCUGGGGGCUUCAGAGGAGGGUGGUCCUGCCCACACCUCACUUUUGGACUUCUACUCUCCGGAACUUUGAAAGAACACAUUUCUGUGGUUUUCAGCCACCUGGUUUGUGGGAAUUUGUUAUGGCAGCCCCAGAAAACGAAUACAGGCAACAUCACUUAGUGCUUAAGAAAGAGCCUGUGCCCGGGCGCGGAGGCUCACGCCUAGAAUCCCAGCACUUUAGAGGCUGAGGCAGGAGGAUCGCUUGAGCCCAGGAAUUUGAGACCAGCCUGGGCAACAAAGUAAGAUCCUGUCUCUACAAAAAAUAAAAAAAAUUAGCUGGGCGUGGUGAUGCGCGCCUGUGUUUCCAGCUACAUGAGAGGCAGAGGCGGGAGGAUCGCUUGAGCCCAGGAAGUCAAGGCUGCAGUGAACCAUGUUGGCACCACUGCACUCCAGCUUGGGUGACAGAGUGAGACCCUGAAAAAAAAAAAAGUCUGUGGGCCCACGUCUCACAUCCUGACCCCGCCGGCGAUCAACUGUGUGACCUUGAGUGAGUUACUUAAACUCUCUGUGCCUCGGUCUCCCCAUGGGUUGUGGAAGGGUUGAGUUGAUGAGUGUAAAGUAUGCAGACAACAGCCAGGUGCCCAGCAUGAUGUAAACACCGCAAGAGCACUGGCUGUUGUGAAAGGUGCCGUGUUUAAGAAUUGGAGUUUCCCAACGGGUUCAGUAUUAGUACCUGUUCUUUAGGGCACAGACUUGUUCUGUGCCAUUUUACCUGUAUCCAUUUCAACCAGACUUACAUCUUUUCGAAGGAAGGCCUGAGAAAAUCUCAAUUCUCAACUGGAGUGAUGAUUCAAACCCCUUGUUUCCCUUCCUUUUCUUUGGGGUCUCUGUUAGUUUCCUGUGGCCAAUGUAAUUAAUUACCACAAGCAGGGAGCUUAAACAUCAGAAUGCAUCUUUCACAAUCUGGAGACCAGAAAUCCAGGUGCAGGAUUUUACAGGGCCAUGCUGCCUCUGAAGGCACCAGGGUAGGGUCCCUCCUCGCCUCUCCCAGUUUGCUGGCAUGCCGGCAAGGCUCGGCACUCCUUGGCAGGCACCAGCCGUGCUCCAAUCACUGCCUGUCUUUGCAUGGUCAUCUUCUUGUGUUUCUCUGUAUCUCUCCUCGUAUAAGGUCCUUGGUCAUUGGAUUCAGGACCCACCUUACUCCAGCAUGACUUCAUCAUCACUUAAUUACAUCUGCAAGAACCCUGUUUCCAAAUAAGGUGACAUUCUUAGGUACUGGGGGUGAGUAUGUAUCUUUUCUUCAACAUAUCUUUUUGGUGGAAUGCAAUUCAACCCAGAACACCACCUCUCACGAAAACGGCUAAAAACGGCUGGGGAGGCAUUUUCAAGAACUUUCACUAACAAAUUUUAAAGAAUAGAUUUCACUGUAAGCCUUGGGCAGCCACUGAAGAGUGUGUUGGAAUAGCUGCUGAGUGUCGGCCACUACUGGGUGACGUUUCCUUAAUGGCUGGAAGAGUGAAGGAAUUAGGGCCGAGCGUGUAUGCACAAAAACUUCUUCUGUUUUGACUGUAUGGGCUUCUUCCUUUCAUUUGUUCAUUUAGCAAACAUGUAUUGCCUUCUUUUGUCUUCUAGGAUCUAUGAAAGAUAAAAUGUGGUGUGAGGACACGGCCCAGCCCCACCGUCGUCUUCCAGCCCCACCAUCGUCUUCCAGCCCCACCGUCGUCUUCCAGUCCCACCGUCGUCUUCUAGCCCCACCAUCGUCGUCUUGGACUCUCUGGGUGGCACCACGCUGUGGGUGCUGCUCUCCUCUGUGUCCCAAACGAGUUUGUGCCUCACUUUGUCGGGUUUUGGCUGUGACUUGGAGCCUCACCAAGCUCCCUUUUCCUCUGUCUCCCAUUCUCCUCUCCAGGCCAGGGUGGCUUCCCCAGCCCUCCUCCCCGGGUCCUGCCUGUGCCGAGCCUUCCUCCCAGGAGGGAGGUGAUACUGACUUGAGAUCUUAUGGGUGUUUUGUUUGUGGCUGGGCCUGGCCGACCCUCUCUCCACGGCCUUAGAUCACACUCUGGAUGGAUAGGACAGUCGUCCUCAAUACUGAGCCUCUUUGGAGCAUACCCACUGAUGGUGGUUCACAAGCUACCCACGCCCACAGGCUGACCCAGAUCUCCGUGAAAUUAAAAAAUACUGUGAAAGGAAAAAGAGCCAAUGUCAUGUGGAUAAUGAAGUGUCAGCCACUGAAAAAUCUCAAAAUAAUAAACAUGGCUUGUUUGUCAGGGUUCUCUAG
Homo sapiens (human) is the source of this 2869-nucleotide long non-coding RNA. Ensembl annotates it as ZNF295 antisense RNA 1. Its record names the gene ZNF295-AS1. NCBI's taxonomy places the organism in Eukaryota, Metazoa, Chordata, Mammalia, Primates, Hominidae. The record is from Ensembl.